UUAAGUUCAGCGGUAGCUCCUCGAUUUGAGGUCAAAUUGUCAAAAUUGUCCAAGUCAAUGAACGAUUAGAAGCUGAACUUCAUAAAGCUGCUUCACAUCCACGGCGUAGAUAAUUAUCACACCAAUAGACGGUCCACAAAAGUUCCGCUAAUCCAUUUAAGGAGAGCCGACCUCAUUUAAUGAAGCCCGCAACCCCCACA
Molecule: unclassified non-coding RNA, 200 nt
Filed under: Laccaria sp.
Lineage: Eukaryota; Fungi; Basidiomycota; Agaricomycetes; Agaricales; Hydnangiaceae
Description: partial internal transcribed spacer 2
Source: RNAcentral